Molecule: long non-coding RNA, 489 nt
Organism: Vigna angularis (adzuki bean)
Lineage: Eukaryota; Viridiplantae; Streptophyta; Magnoliopsida; Fabales; Fabaceae
Exons: 3
Source: RefSeq, a predicted model, not a curated record
AUGUGACUAAAACAACUAUAAGAAAAAAAAGUAUAAAUUCUUCUGCCAUAGAGCAAAUCACGUCCUUUCUAUAGAGUGUAAUCAAGUGUGUUCCGUAAAACCUGACUGGAAGCUGACACCAGAAGAGAGAUAACUGCUGGCUUUUCCUAGUUCCUUCUUACACAGGUUGCAUGUGCAUUGCUCAUGGCGGGUGAGAAUCUGGAAAACCAUGUUGAUGUGAAGAACAUUCUUGUUGAGAUGGGAACCUACUUUCAAGUACCGGAUGAUUAUUUGGAUUGCUUUGGGGAUCCUGAUACUAUUGGAAAGGACAACUAUGGGAGUGCAGAUCCAGAAAAUGUUGCUAAAGUAAAGGCCUUGUAUAACGAGCUUAAUCUUAAGGUUUGAACUUCAUCUACAUCUACCUCAUUAAUAAUUUGAGGAGUAUGAGAGCAAGAGCUAUGAGAAGCUUUUACUUCCUACUGUAUUGAUUUACAAAUGCUUUACUUAUUA